RNAcentral lists this transfer RNA (86 nucleotides) under Dionaea muscipula. RNAcentral describes it as "tRNA-Ser (TGA) (tRNA-Ser-TGA-6-1)". It matches the Rfam family "tRNA". Rfam says of the family: Transfer RNA (tRNA) molecules are approximately 80 nucleotides in length. Their secondary structure includes four short double-helical elements and three loops (D, anti-codon, and T loops). Lineage: Eukaryota; Viridiplantae; Streptophyta; Magnoliopsida; Caryophyllales; Droseraceae. RNAcentral also lists the same sequence under 1 other name. The record is from RNAcentral.
GGAGAGAUGGCUGAGUGGUUGAAAGCCCCGGUCUUGAAAACCGGUAUAGGAAAAAACUAUCGAGGGUUCGAAUCCCUCUCUCUCCU